RNAcentral lists this unclassified non-coding RNA (1930 nucleotides) under Hevea brasiliensis (rubber tree). Lineage: Eukaryota; Viridiplantae; Streptophyta; Magnoliopsida; Malpighiales; Euphorbiaceae. The record is from RNAcentral.
GGAAAAAAAAAAAGCCAUUUCUCUGUUUGUUCUUGCAUCCAUGAAUAACCUCUUAGCUCUCAAUCCUAUCACUUCUUUUGUCUUCUUUCUCGUGCUACAUCACCUUGCAAUUGCCAUUUCUAAGCCUGCUUACAACCCAACUGACAGCAUACUUACCAAUUGCGGUUCUUCGGGUGACACACCUGCACCUGAUGGGCGCAUAUGGACCGGUGACCAAAAAUCCAAAUUUGGUCCUAUAGAGCAAUCUAGUAGCAAAUCCCUUUCUGCUAGCGCCCUUAGCCAAGGCGGCUCCGUCCAGUAUGUCCCUUACAUGACAGCCCGCAUCUCUCAAUCCCAGUUCACGUACACCUUCCCUGUCACUGCAGGUCAAAAAUUUAUCCGUCUCCACUUCUACUCUGUUUCAUAUCAGGGUGGAUUUAACAGGUUUAAGGACUUCUUCGAUGUCAAAGCGGGGCCUUUCACUUUACUAAGCAACUUCAGUGCUUCCUUCUACGCUGAAGCGAGGGAUACUUAUUCUUUCAUUAAAGAAUUCUGCUUUAACGUCGCAGAGAACCAGCAAUUGAAUCUGACAUUUUCUCCUUCCCUGAGUAAGUAUGCUUUCAUCAAUGGCAUAGAGAUUAUAUCUAUGCCAUCCAACCUUUAUUAUACUCCACCAGAGGAGGGUUCAGGCCUCAUUUCUAUUGGCAAAAAGGAAAAGUUUUUUAUCCAAAAUGACACCGCGCUGGAGAAUAUGUGUAGAUUUAACGUUGCGGGUGGCACCAUCUCGCCAGUACUUGACACUGGCAUGUAUAGGUUAUGGAGGGAUGACGUUCUCAACCUUGGUCUUGUUAACAACGAGCCAAAUCUCUCUCUCAAUUAUUCUAAAAUACCAAACUACACAGCGCCAGAUGAAGUCUAUCUGUCAGCUCGGCAACUGGGACUUAAUGACACCAAUUUGACGUGGAGGGUGCCAGUAGAUCAAGGAUUCAGGUAUCUGGUGAGGCUCCACUUCUGUGAGUUUGUUCCAGAGAUUACCAAGGUCAAUGAAAGACGAUUCGAUAUCUUUAUUGACAAUCAGACAGCUACAUUGGGUUUCGAUGUUAUUGAAUCAAGCGGUGGUCACGGGACUCCCACAUAUAAUGACUACAUAGUAACUGCUGGGAAGAAGGUUGGGAAAGCUGAUGACGAUUAUAGGCUUUUCAUAACUCUGCGUCCUAAUCCUUCAAGUAUUUACCCUGAUGCUUUCCUGAACGGGUUAGAGAUUUUCAAGUUGAACGACUCUGAUGGCAAUCUUGCCGGACCCAAUUCUCUAGUGUCUGUCCCUUCUCCACCAGCAACAACAGCACAACCAUCGGCACCAACAGCCAAGAAGUCCAGCACGAAGAAAAUAUUGCUUCUUGCCAUUGGUGGGAGUGUGAUGGGUUUGUUGAUCAUACUUUCUUUGUUGGGUUUCUUGGUUAUUUGGCGAAUAAGGAAGAAGCAGGACGGUCAUUAUGGGUCUCAUUACAAAUCACUAAGCUGCUGCUGGCGGUUGAAUUCAGCAGCUUAUAUUGGGAAGUCAUCGAGGACUAUGGCUUCUUCACUGCCGCAAGAACUAUGCCGCCAAUUUUCACUAGAUGAGAUUAAAGCUGCUACGAAUGACUUCCAUGAGAGUUUGAUAAUUGGCUCAGGUGGUUUCGGCAAUGUUUACAGAGGUGAUAUUGAUAAUGGAGCCAUGACUGUUGCAAUUAAGCGAUUGAAUCGAGAGUCGAGUCAGGGUGUCCGUGAAUUCAGGACAGAGAUUGAGACGUUGUCCCAGCUCCGCCAUGUCAAUCUCGUCUCUCUGAUCGGAUAUUGUCUUCAUGAAGGAGAAAUGGUCCUUGUUUAUGACUAUAUGGUCAACGGGACUCUUCGAGACCAUCUCUACGACAAAUUCAAGAAUCCACUUCCAUGGAAGCAAAGGCUUGAGAUA